CGGCGGACGGGUGAGUAAUGCCUAGGAAUCUGCCUGGUAGUGGGGGACAACGUUUCGAAAGGAACGCUAAUACCGCAUACGUCCUACGGGAGAAAGCAGGGGACCUUCUGGCCUUGCGCUAUCAGAUGAGCCUAGGUCGGAUUAGCUAGUUGGUGAGGUAAUGGCUCACCAAGGCGACGAUCCGGAACUGGUCUGAGAGGAUGAUCAGUCACACUGGAACUGAGACNCGGGCCAGACUCCUACGGGAGGCAGCAGUGGGGAAUAUUGGACAAUGGGCGAAAGCCUGAUCCAUCCAUGCCGCGUGUGUGAAGAAGGUCUUCGGAUUGUAAAGCACUUUAAGUUGGGAGGAAGGGCAGUAAGUUAAUACCUUGCUGUUUUGACGUUACCGACAGAAUANGCACCGGCUAACUCUGUGCCAGCAACCGCGGUAAU
RNAcentral lists this ribosomal RNA (432 nucleotides) under uncultured Pseudomonas sp. Its description in RNAcentral is "bacterial SSU rRNA". It matches the Rfam family "Bacterial small subunit ribosomal RNA", at positions 96 to 524 of the family's 1533-position model. Lineage: Bacteria; Pseudomonadati; Pseudomonadota; Gammaproteobacteria; Pseudomonadales; Pseudomonadaceae. The record is from RNAcentral.